ACGCGCACUAUAAAAAAUGCCCAAGGAUGGUAUUAGGCUAAAGGGGAAAGAGAUCAGCUUGAAACUUGGAUUUACAGAAAAGAACAUCAGAGAAGGUCGGCCUUCAUAUCUCUCCGGUAAUCCACUGAACAGGAAGCCAUACAAAUGAAAAUAGAGGGAAAAAGACGCUGGACACACUACUUCUACCUCUACCUCUUGGACCCAAUGAAGAUUGGUACAGCAGAAAAAGCAUUAGUCUAAGAAACAAGGAGCCAAGAAACCAGGAAUACAACCUUUCAUUCUGGAUGGCAUUGUACCUCUUACCGUUCCUCCUCUCUGAAAUGUGGACACAGUAGCUAUUGCUCCAGAAGUCAGCUUGGAUCACAAGGUGAUCUUUGAAAAUGGAAGCGACACACUGAGGAUAUGAGAGCAGAGAGAAGAAAUCUGGGUCCUUGAUUUUUUUGUGAAGCAAUUGUGAAGCUGCCAUCUGAGCCCUGAACUGCCUACCUUCCAGACUUCUUCUGUGUGAAACUACUACAAAAAGAUAUCUAUCAGCAGAUGAAUUCAAUUAUUAACAAACAUGAAAUUUGGGACAUGAAGUGGGGUGAUACAAAUAAUAGAACCUAAAAUAAGAUACUCUUAAAGCAGGAGUUGAUGAGGCAAACAAUAACUCUGAUAAUGCAGGCUGGAAAGCUAGUGACCUUAUUAAAGAAUGAAAAGGAUUUGGUCAAAUUUGGUCAUCUACAGAAGUUAGAAAGCAAACCAUAUACCAAAUGAAGCUAGAGCAAGGAGAGAAAUACAGGAAAAUUUUAGAAUGCUGGCAUGUGCUGGCUCCCUCCGGUCACUUAGAACAAAGUUGUAAGAGAAAUAAAAUAAACUUCGAUUAGAGUUGCAAGCAGAGGUGGAGAAAAUGCAGAUUUGCUAAGGGAGGUAACUCCCUAUGGCCUGCAAUUUAAACUAACACUCCCAUAAUUUAAAGCUUUGCAUAGCUGAAAAAACACCAACUGUUUCUGAAGAAGCAAAGUGAAGUAAUUGAAUGGUAGCUGCAAAACUGCAGCCUUGGCAAUAGAGAAGACUGGUGCCUUGCCACACAAAAGCAAUGAUGUAAGGGUGUUGUCUUUCCACCCACGAUUUCCACCACUGUUUCAAAUGGCCUCAUCAGAACCAUCAUUUCUUCAGAACCCAGAAGAGGUCAAUGAACUUGAACGGGGGAAAAAUACUCUUCAUUUCCACUAACUUGUGACUGAAAUUUAGCAUCCCCUUGAAUUAUGAAGUCAGACAACAAAUCAUAGUAGCAUUAACAGUACUUGUGACUUCUGCCACCAAUAAAAAUAACAAAUAUAUUCCUAUCACAUGCAAAUGUUGCAGAAUCUCAACUAUUAAAGUCAACUACUUUAAAAUUACGCUACUGUAUUAGACUUGCCACUAGAUCUUUUAUUUCAAGUGUUAAAAGCACAGAUAUUAUGACGUUUUCAAGUUAAUAUUUUGCCAACCAUAUUUCAACAGAAUCAGUUUCCUGUGUAAUCCUAAGUAUUUUAUUUUGUGAAUUUUGAGACAUUAUUCUGAAACAGAUCCACAGGUUUCACCAGACUGUUAAAGGGGUUCCAUAGCACCAAAACAAGAUUGGAAAUUCCUGGGGUAAAUGGAGCACAAAGGCCACAGUCUUCACACUGAAAAACUGUCUUGGCAGAUACUUUAGAUCAAAACGGCAAAAAGCCUACGAAGUAUUUUAAAAUAACUGUAUGGAGGGUAGGGGGAGAGAAAGAGACUAGACACAAAAGCUCUUAUGUUUCCAAAAUAAUACCCAAGCCCAUCAAUAAGAAGUGAGCUAUAAAAGCUGCACAUUUCCCAGAAAGGGCAUCUUCAAUAAUAUCCAUCUCAGAUGUGGCCAUGGAAGAUAAUGGACAAGUAAAAACUCCCAUCUUUUCAAAACAGUGAUCUCUGCUCCAUUUAGGAGAAAAAUGGACAGCAUCAAACUAAUCUCCACUAAGGAAUUCAGAAUUAGGACUGAAGUGGUCUGGGCUGGUAUCUUGAAUGAAGAAGCUAUGAACUUGAGAGGUAUGGGAUGACCAUGUGCCCGAAAGACAAAGAAAGCUUAUUUGCAUAAAUGAAGAAAUAAAUUACAGAGAAAAGCAACAGAGAGUAUACUGCCUAGUUUCCUAAGAACCUAAGUUCUAUUUCCUCAAGAGAUCCAGCUAUCCCUGGGUUCUG
Molecule: long non-coding RNA, 2190 nt
Organism: Neofelis nebulosa (Clouded leopard)
Lineage: Eukaryota; Metazoa; Chordata; Mammalia; Carnivora; Felidae
Exons: 6
Source: RefSeq, a predicted model, not a curated record